GCCGGGCAUGGUGGCUCAUGCCUGUAAUCCUAACACUUUGGGAGGCUGAGGUGGGUGGAUCACCUGAGGUCAGGAGUUCUACACCAGCCUGGCCAACAUGGUGAAACCCCAUCUCUC
This 117-nucleotide signal recognition particle RNA is filed under the name Homo sapiens (human). Its description in RNAcentral is "Metazoan signal recognition particle RNA". It matches the Rfam family "Metazoan signal recognition particle RNA". Rfam says of the family: The signal recognition particle (SRP) is a universally conserved ribonucleoprotein. The record is from Rfam by way of RNAcentral. Lineage: Eukaryota; Metazoa; Chordata; Mammalia; Primates; Hominidae.